GACGAACGCUGGCGGCGUGCUUAACACAUGCAAGUCGAACGGAAAGGCCCUGCUUUUGUGGGGUGCUCGAGUGGCGAACGGGUGAGUAACACGUGAGUAACCUGCCCUUGACUUUGGGAUAACUUCAGGAAACUGGGGCUAAUACCGGAUAGGAGCUCCUGCUGCAUGGUGGGGGUUGGAAAGUUUCGGCGGUUGGGGAUGGACUCGCGGCUUAUCAGCUUGUUUGUGGGGUAGUGGCUUACCAAGGCUUUGACGGGUAGCCGGCCUGAGAGGGUGACCGGCCACAUUGGGACUGAGAUGCGGCCCAGACUCCUACGGGAGGCAGUAGUGGGGAAUAUUGCGCAAUGGGCGGAAGCCUGAUGCAGCAACGCCGCGUGCGGGAUGACGGCCUUCGGGUUGUAAACCGCUUUCGCCUGUGACGAAGCGUGAGUGACGGUAAUGGGUAAAGAAGCACCGGCUCACUACGUG
Molecule: ribosomal RNA, 468 nt
Filed under: uncultured bacterium
Lineage: Bacteria
Description: partial 16S ribosomal RNA
Rfam family: Bacterial small subunit ribosomal RNA
Source: RNAcentral